Molecule: unclassified non-coding RNA, 489 nt
Filed under: Borreliella burgdorferi (Lyme disease spirochete)
Lineage: Bacteria; Pseudomonadati; Spirochaetota; Spirochaetia; Spirochaetales; Borreliaceae
Description: partial 16S-23S ribosomal RNA intergenic spacer
Rfam family: tRNA (bases 126-199)
Source: RNAcentral
UCUUUUCCUUUGAUAAGAGAGUUUUUAAAACCAGUGUUAUUUAUGUAAGUUUAAGAGAAGUUUAUGUAUUAAAUUAUUGAUAUUAAAUAGUUUUAUUAGGCUUAGACUUAAUUUUAGGUCAUUUUGGGGGUUUAGCUCAGUUGGCUAGAGCAUCGGCUUUGCAAGCCGAGGGUCAAGGGUUCGAGUCCCUUAACCUCCAUUGGGCUUAUGCCCUAAAUUGUAAUUAAGUAUGUUUUUAAGUAACUUUGUUAAAGUAAUUGUUGGAAUGUGAAACACAAGAAGUUAAAAUUUCUGGGUUAAGUUGAGAUCUGUUGAUAUUAAGAAAAAUGUCUAGAAGCAAAAGCAAGCUUUCGAUAAAACCCGAAGUUGUUUCGCUAAAGUGCAAGGAUUAAACAGGAUUGUAUUUUUCAGCAGCCUAUUUUAUAAACGAUCUGCAUUUAGUAAAUAGUUUUUAGUUAGGAAAUAAUGUAGAUUACUAAGUGUGAUGUC